AUAGAUAAUAUUCCGUAGACAGUAGGUGCGUAAGCGUAACAGAAUUUACCUACCGAGGAUUCUAAUAGAACGUGAUGAUUUUAUUGGUCUCUUCGUAUGUUUGCGGAGAGACUUUUAUUAUUAA
Molecule: small RNA, 124 nt
Filed under: uncultured Clostridium sp.
Lineage: Bacteria; Bacillati; Bacillota; Clostridia; Eubacteriales; Clostridiaceae
Description: Ribosomal protein L10 leader
Rfam family: Ribosomal protein L10 leader
About the family: This family is a putative r-protein leader autoregulatory structure found in B. subtilis and other low-GC Gram-positive bacteria. It is located in the 5' untranslated regions of mRNAs encoding ribosomal proteins L10 and L12 (rplJ-rplL).
Source: RNAcentral